UACGUAGGGUGCGAGCGUUAAUCGGAAUUACUGGGCGUAAAGCGUGCGCAGGCGGUCUGUUAAGACCGAUGUGAAAUCCCCGGGCUUAACCUGGGAACUGCAUUGGUGACUGGCAGGCUUGAGUGUGGCAGAGGGAGGUAGAAUUCCACGUGUAGCAGUGAAAUGCGUAGAGAUGUGGAGGAAUACCGAUGGCGAAGGCGCCUCCUGGGCCAACACUGACGCUCAUGCACGAAAGCGUGGGGAGCAAACAGG
This 252-nucleotide ribosomal RNA is filed under the name uncultured bacterium. Its description in RNAcentral is "partial 16S ribosomal RNA". It matches the Rfam family "Bacterial small subunit ribosomal RNA", at positions 524 to 776 of the family's 1533-position model. The record is from RNAcentral.